RNAcentral lists this non-coding RNA (24 nucleotides) under Arabidopsis thaliana (thale cress). The record is from RNAcentral. Lineage: Eukaryota; Viridiplantae; Streptophyta; Magnoliopsida; Brassicales; Brassicaceae.
CGGCGAUGCGUCCUGGUCGGAUGC